UCUCUAGCCUCCGCCUCCAGGCGGGUGAGGAGGUGACACCUGAGAAUUCCUCCCUCUCACCCCUGACCCUGCCGGAAAGGGAAACUGAGAUGCGGGCAUUGGGCCCUGGGAAGCGUGGGGAAGGGGAAAGGAGAAAGCCAGGUUAACUACGUCAGGAUUAAUGUGUUCCACUUCUGCUGCCUGAGAAAAUGGAGAAAUUAAGUCCUUUCCAUGAAUCACUCCUUCUGUAAACAGAGAUCACAAAGCAAGAGCUUUAGCAUCCUCGUGAAAAGACAUUUUGUUCUGGGUGUCAUCAUCUCCUUCCACUACAGCUUGCAAUUGGAACAAGCUUCAUAUCCUGGGGGUGCUGCCUAUCUCUGUCUUGAUUUCUGUCUGUCUAUUCCUCCCAUUGACAGGAAUAUCGUUUGUAUCCUCCACGCAGCAGUUUGCAGAAAUCCAGCAAGGUUUAUGGUUUAUGUUGCCCAGCAUGUAUAAACACAGUGCUCUCAAAUGUUUUUUAAAAAUCUGUGAAUUUGUUAGAUGUCUUAACAUCCUGGUCCUCCUACCCCAAUUCUCAAACACAAAGUACUCUAUUUCCCUGAUAUAGUCCUACGAUAGUUCUGGCUAGGAUUAGGUUGACGGUCUAAGCCCCAAGAAAGGCCUGGCAUUUUCAUAGCAGGCCUUCCCCAAUGCUUUGAGUCUUCCUCUCUCACUCCCUUUUUCUUUUUCCCUCGGAGGAGGGGGUGAUGGGGGUGGGAGGUCUUUAGCAAAUGUUUCAGGUAAUC
This 764-nucleotide long non-coding RNA is filed under the name Pongo abelii (Sumatran orangutan). RNAcentral's name for it is "lincRNA". The record is from RNAcentral. Lineage: Eukaryota; Metazoa; Chordata; Mammalia; Primates; Hominidae.